UGUGGCAGAUGAUGAAUUGAUUAAUUUAUGCUUAAAACACAGAAUAAUAGUGUUGACAAACAAUCUCCGCUUAUUAUCUGAUGCCAUG
This is a non-coding RNA of Brassica napus (rape), 88 nucleotides long. The record is from Rfam. NCBI's taxonomy places the organism in Eukaryota, Viridiplantae, Streptophyta, Magnoliopsida, Brassicales, Brassicaceae.